UGGGGAAUCUUGCGCAAUGGGCGAAAGCCUGACGCAGCGACGCCGCGUGGGUGAUGAAGGCCUUCGGGUUGUAAAGCCCUGUGGGGAGGGACGAAUAACAGCGACCUAAUACGUCGGUGGAUGACGGUACCCCCUUAGCAAGCCCCGGCUAACUCUGUGCCAGCAGCCGCGGUAAUACGGAGGGUGCGAGCGUUGUCCGGAAUCAUUGGGCGUAAAGGGCGCGUAGGUGGCCCGGUCAGUUCGUGGUGAAAGCGCGGGGCUCAACCCUGCGUCGGCCAUGAAUACUGCCGCGGCUGGAGCACUGUAGAGGCAGGCGGAAUUCCGGGUGUAGCGGUGGAAUGCGUAGAGAUCCGGAAGAACACCGGUGGCGAAGGCGGCCUGCUGGGCAGUUGCUGACACUGAGGCGCGACAGCGUGGGGAGCAAAC
Molecule: ribosomal RNA, 426 nt
Filed under: uncultured bacterium
Lineage: Bacteria
Description: bacterial SSU rRNA
Rfam family: Bacterial small subunit ribosomal RNA
Source: RNAcentral